This 1271-nucleotide ribosomal RNA is filed under the name human gut metagenome. RNAcentral's name for it is "bacterial LSU rRNA". It matches the Rfam family "Bacterial large subunit ribosomal RNA", at positions 1106 to 2396 of the family's 2925-position model. The record is from RNAcentral.
UUGGAAGCAGCCAUUCAUUUAAAGAGUGCGUAACAGCUCACUAGUCGAGGAGUUUGGCGUGGAUAAUAAUCGGGCAUAAGUAUUCUACCGAAGCUUUGGGAUGAGAAAUCAUCGGUAGGGGAGCAUUCCACUCUGCGUCGAAGGUGAAGCGCGAGCUUUGCUGGAGCGUGUGGAAAAGCAAAUGUAGGUAUAAGUAACGAUAAAGGGGGUGAGAAACCCCCUCGCCGAAAGACUAAGGUUUCCUGAUCAACGCUAAUCGGAUCAGGGUUAGUCGGGUCCUAAGGCUCAGCCGAACGGCGAGGCCGAUGGCAGAACCGGUUAAUAUUCCGGUACUACCUGUGGGAGUGACGUGGAGACGGAGUCGUGACAGCGCCGCGGACUGACGGAAUAGUCCGUUGAAGGGUGUAGAUGCUGAUUGUUCCAGGCAAAUCCGGAGCAAGAGUCGAACCUGACAGUAUGGAGCGUUCUUAGAACAAUCCAAUAGUGCGUGUAAUCAUACUUCCAAGAAAAUCCGCUAAACUUAAUCCUGCAGGUACCCGUACCGCAAACGGACACACGUAGUCGGGUUGAAUAUACUAAGGCGCUUGAGUGAUUCACGGUUAAGGAACUAGGCAAACUGACCCUGUAACUUCGGGAUAAAGGGUCCUCGCUUUAAGGCGAGGCGCAGAGAAUAGGUCCAGGCAACUGUUUAACAAAAACACAGGGCUGUGCAAAAUUGAAAGAUGAAGUAUACAGCCUGACACCUGCCCGGUGCUGGAAGGUUAAGAGGAGAUGUCAUCGCAAGAGAAGCAUUGAAUUGAAGCCCCAGUAAACGGCGGCCGUAACUAUAACGGUCCUAAGGUAGCGAAAUUCCUUGUCGGGUAAGUUCCGACCUGCACGAAUGGUGUAAUGAUCUGGACACUGUCUCAACCGUGAGCUCAGUGAAAUUGUAGUAUCGGUGAAGAUGCCGAUUACCCGCGAUGGGACGAAAAGACCCCGUGAACCUUUACUAUAGCUUAACAUUGAAUUUGGGUAAUUGAUGUGUAGGAUAGGCCGGAGGCUUUGAAGCGGGCACGCCAGUGUCCGUGGAGCCGCUGUUGAAAUACGGCCCUUUGAUUAUUUGAGUUCUAACCCGUUGUUGCGGGGACACUGUUUGGUGGGUAGUUUGACUGGGGUGGUCGCCUCCAAAAGUGUAACGGAGGCUUCUAAAGGUGCCCUCACGACGAUUGGUAACCGUCGGCAGAGUGUAAUGGCAUAAGGGCGCUUGACUGGGAGACUUACAAGUCGAUCAG